RNAcentral lists this ribosomal RNA (465 nucleotides) under Vreelandella stevensii. RNAcentral describes it as "partial 16S ribosomal RNA". It matches the Rfam family "Bacterial small subunit ribosomal RNA", at positions 338 to 795 of the family's 1533-position model. Lineage: Bacteria; Pseudomonadati; Pseudomonadota; Gammaproteobacteria; Oceanospirillales; Halomonadaceae. The record is from RNAcentral.
CCUACGGGCGGCAGCAGUGGGGAAUAUUGGACAAUGGGCGAAAGCCUGAUCCAGCCAUGCCUCGUGUGUGAAGAAGGCCUUCGGGUUGUAAAGCACUUUCAGUGGGGAAGAAAGCCUUGGGGCUAAUACCCUCGAGGAAGGACAUCACCCACAGAAGAAGCACCGGCUAACUCCGUGCCAGCAGCCGCGGUAAUACGGAGGGUGCGAGCGUUAAUCGGAAUUACUGGGCGUAAAGCGCGCGUAGGCGGUCUGAUAAGCCGGUUGUGAAAGCCCCGGGCUCAACCUGGGAACGGCAUCCGGAACUGUCAGGCUAGAGUGCAGGAGAGGAAGGUAGAAUUCCCGGUGUAGCGGUGAAAUGCGUAGAGAUCGGGAGGAAUACCAGUGGCGAAGGCGGUCUUCUGGACUGACACUGACGCUGAGGUGCGAAAGCGUGGGUAGCAAACAGGAUUAGAUACCCUAGUAGUC